GUCAGCGACUGGGGUGAAGUCGUAACAAGGUAGCCGUAGGGGAACCUGCGGCUGGAUCACCUCCUUU
This 67-nucleotide ribosomal RNA is filed under the name Rhizobium etli. Its description in RNAcentral is "partial 16S ribosomal RNA". It matches the Rfam family "Bacterial small subunit ribosomal RNA", at positions 1467 to 1533 of the family's 1533-position model. Lineage: Bacteria; Pseudomonadati; Pseudomonadota; Alphaproteobacteria; Hyphomicrobiales; Rhizobiaceae. RNAcentral also lists the same sequence under 6 other names. The record is from RNAcentral.